ACAUACCAAUUGUUGCCUCGGCGGAUCAGCCCGCUCCCGGUAAAACGGGACGGCCCGCCAGAGGACCCCUAAACUCUGUUUCUAUAUGUAACUUCUGAGUAAAACCAUAAAUAAAUCAAAACUUUCAACAACGGAUCUCUUGGUUCUGGCAUCGAUGAAGAACGCAGCAAAAUGCGAUAAGUAAUGUGAAUUGCAGAAUUCAGUGAAUCAUCGAAUCUUUGAACGCACAUUGCGCCCGCCAGUAUUCUGGCGGGCAUGCCUGUUCGAGCGUCAUUUCAACCCUCAAGCCCAGCUUGGUGUUGGGACUCGCGAGUCAAAUCGCGUUCCCCAAAUUGAUUGGCGGUCACGUCGAGCUUCCAUAGCGUAGUAGUAAAACCCUCGUUACUGGUAAUCGUCGCGGCCACGCCGUUAAACCCCAACUUCUGAAUGUUGACCUCGGAUCAGGUAGGAAUACCCGCUGAACUUAAGCAUAUC
Molecule: ribosomal RNA, 474 nt
Filed under: Fusarium sp. BJ43
Lineage: Eukaryota; Fungi; Ascomycota; Sordariomycetes; Hypocreales; Nectriaceae
Description: eukaryotic LSU rRNA
Rfam family: 5.8S ribosomal RNA (bases 120-273)
Source: RNAcentral